CGUCCCGCCAAACAUGUCCCG
This 21-nucleotide non-coding RNA is filed under the name Arabidopsis thaliana (thale cress). Lineage: Eukaryota; Viridiplantae; Streptophyta; Magnoliopsida; Brassicales; Brassicaceae. The record is from RNAcentral.